RNAcentral lists this ribosomal RNA (512 nucleotides) under uncultured Candidatus Poseidoniales archaeon. Its description in RNAcentral is "bacterial SSU rRNA". It matches the Rfam family "Archaeal small subunit ribosomal RNA", at positions 412 to 926 of the family's 1478-position model. Lineage: Archaea; Methanobacteriati; Thermoplasmatota; Candidatus Poseidoniia; Candidatus Poseidoniales. The record is from RNAcentral.
UUGACUCUUAAACCGUCUUGAAUAAGGGGUGGGUAAGGACGGUGCCAGCCGCCGCGGUAAUACCGGCGCCUCAAGUGGUAGUCGAUUUUAUUGGGCCUAAAACGUCCGUAGCCUGUUUGGUACAUUCGUGGGUAAAUCAACCAGCUUAACUGAUUGAAUUCUGCGAGCACGGCCAGACUUGGGACCGGGAGAGGUGUGGGGUACGCUCAGGGUAGGGGUAAAAUCCUGUCAUCCUGAGCGGACCACCUGUUGCGAAGGCGCCACACUAGAACGGAUCCGACGGUCAGGGACGAAGCCUAGGGGCACGAACCGGAUUAGAUACCCGGGUAGUCCUAGGUGUAAACGCUGUGGACUUGGUGUUGGGGAUUCUCCGAGGAUCCUCAGUGCCGAAGCGAAGGUGAUAAGUCCACUGCCUGGGGAGUACGGUCGCAAGGCUGAAACUUAAAGGAAUUGGCGGGGGAGCACCGCAACCUGAGGAUUGUGCGGUUUAAUUGGAGUCAACGCCGGGAAUC